This 106-nucleotide ribosomal RNA is filed under the name Gallibacterium anatis 7990. Lineage: Bacteria; Pseudomonadati; Pseudomonadota; Gammaproteobacteria; Pasteurellales; Pasteurellaceae. The record is from RNAcentral.
UUUGGCGAUAAUAAUGCAAUAGUACCACCUGAUCCCAUGCCGAACUCAGAAGUAAUGCCGAUGGUAGUGUGGGGAUUCCCCAUGUGAGAGUAGGUCAUCGCCAAUU